CGGGUCGCAGCAGUGGGGAAUAUUGCACAAUGGGCGGAAGCCUGAUGCAGCGACGCCGCGUGAGGGAUGAAGGCCUUCGGGUUGUAAACCUCUUUCAGCAGGGACGAAGCGUGAGUGACGGUACCUGCAGAAGAAGCACCGGCUAACUACGUGCCAGCAGCCGCGGUAAUACGUAGGGUGCGAGCGUUGUCCGGAAUUACUGGGCGUAAAGAGUUCGUAGGCGGUUUGUCGCGUCGUUUGUGAAAACCCGGGGCUCAACUUCGGGCUUGCAGGCGAUACGGGCAGACUUGAGUGUUUCAGGGGAGACUGGAAUUCCUGGUGUAGCGGUGAAAUGCGCAGAUAUCAGGAGGAACACCGGUGGCGAAGGCGGGUCUCUGGGAAACAACUGACGCUGAGGAACGAAAGCGUGGGUAGCAAACAGGAUUAGAUACCCGCGU
RNAcentral lists this ribosomal RNA (437 nucleotides) under uncultured Rhodococcus sp. RNAcentral's name for it is "bacterial SSU rRNA". It matches the Rfam family "Bacterial small subunit ribosomal RNA", at positions 342 to 791 of the family's 1533-position model. Lineage: Bacteria; Bacillati; Actinomycetota; Actinomycetes; Mycobacteriales; Nocardiaceae. The record is from RNAcentral.